UCGAGCAUCAUCUUCAAAACAAAACCAAGCUUCUUAUCAUUAACGAAUCUACUCUUCUCACAAUUCCUUGUUUAGUUAUUUCUCAACUAUGGAUUCUUCCUCUGGUGCACCAGUUCGUGGGUAUCCGGCCCAGCAAGGCUACGCCAAAACGAUUAGGACCAGCAAUAUAAAAGGGACAAAAGAACAAGAGGGCGAUAAAUCAAACACGGAAGGUUCGAAGAAAAAAAAGAUACCAAUCACCAAAACGUGAGAAAGUCGAAAGAUGAGGAUGCAUGUUUUCUUAUGUGGUUAUUGUGGAUUUUCCAAAGUACCCUUUGUAUAAUAUUGAAUAAUUUGAAUCUACGUUGGAAGAAUCUUUCUUCCUCUAAUCUUUUCUGGAUCAUAUUUUUACUUAUUUUCUGCAACUUUUGUACCAAGUAUUUAUUGUAACUUUCCAUAUGUUCUCCUAUUUUCUUAAUGCUCUUCCUUUCUCUAUCUUCCAUUCCCC
RNAcentral lists this small RNA (487 nucleotides) under Arabidopsis thaliana (thale cress). Its description in RNAcentral is "putative long intergenic non-coding RNA". The record is from RNAcentral. Lineage: Eukaryota; Viridiplantae; Streptophyta; Magnoliopsida; Brassicales; Brassicaceae.